UACGUAGGGUGCGAGCGUUAAUCGGAAUUACUGGGCGUAAAGUGUGCGCAGGCGGCCUCGCAAGCCAAGUGUGAAAGCCCCGGGCUUAACCUGGGAACUGCGCUUGAAACUACGGGGCUCGAGUGUGGCAGAGGAAGGUGGAAUUCCACGUGUAGCGGUGAAAUGCGUAGGGAUGUGGAGGAACACCGAUGGCGAAGGCAGCCUUCUGGGCCAACACUGACGCUCAUGCACGAAAGCGUGGGGAG
RNAcentral lists this ribosomal RNA (245 nucleotides) under uncultured Thiobacter sp. Its description in RNAcentral is "partial 16S ribosomal RNA". It matches the Rfam family "Bacterial small subunit ribosomal RNA", at positions 524 to 768 of the family's 1533-position model. Lineage: Bacteria; Pseudomonadati; Pseudomonadota; Betaproteobacteria; Burkholderiales; Thiobacteraceae. The record is from RNAcentral.